UAUGUUAAAAGUAGAGGUAGUGAAAUAACAUUUUGUAGAUAUCCUUUUGUUAAAAUUCAUAUGAAAUAUUGCCUUUUAGAAAUGGAAUAAUCAAACCACCUCUUUGAGCAGUGCACAUUAUUUUAUUUGUGCUGGUUCAAGGAGGAAGAAAAAAGUACAAAGGGCUUUAUACCAAUAUGUUUAUAGUUAGGAGAGAUUAACCAUCAUCCUGUAUGUCUGUGUUUUGCUUUACUUAGUUGUGUAUAUAGUGUACAUAAAGGACAGAUGUCCAAAUUUACAUCUAGUCUUCCUAGAUGUUAAAGAGGUUGCCAAUGUAUGACAAAAGUAGUUAGAAAAUAAAUACAUUGUGAAUACUUUGUUAAAAUUCAUACGAAAAAUUGUUCUGAAAGCAACUGGAGGAGAUGAAAUUGUUAGAAUCCCCUCUAAGCAUUUCAGAUGCUUUAUUACACUUGCUUACUAGGUUGAUAGAGAUGAGAAGGGGAAGGGUUCUAGGCCCGUGUUCCUGUUUAGAAGACACUUUGAGAUUAUAGCCUUUGUGUGCAGUUUAUUCAAUACUACAUGUAUGUAUAGUAAACUAAAAUCCUUAUUUGAAACAUCUAGUCUUUCUAGAUGUUUAAAAGUGUACAACAUAUGCUAAAAGUAGAUAAUUAACACCUUUUAAGAUUUUUUUCUGUUAAUUCAUAGGAAUGGUCAUAUUUGGGGAAUGGGAUUGUUAAACUUGAGCCUUGGAGAGUAUGCUGACUGAUGACUGGGGUGGUGGGGGUUGGGGGGGACAGGGAAGGAAGCUCAGAGAAGGGUUCUGUGCUCAUGAGUCUUUAGAAAGCUUCAGAUUUUCUAACCAUUGUUCUGUUUGUGUGUUUGAGUUAAUAUUGCUGUGUAUUAAAGAAUAAACAAGUCCCAGUGUCCAAAGUAUAUUGAAAGUAGAAGUAGUAAAAUAAUUCCUUUAUAAAUGCCCUUUUGUGGGUUUUUAGGAAGGGCUAUGACUUCUGGGAGUGUCUAUGUUAAUCCACCUUUUGUAGCUAGAUGUAGUCCUGUAGUUAGUCACUGAAAUGCUGGAAGAGGGUUAAGAGGAAGGGUGAAGGGAAGGGCUCUUGGCUAUUAUCUCCAUAUCUAGACAGUUUUAGUUUAUAACCAUAGGUCUAUAUGUGCAUUUUUGUAAAGUUUCUGUUUAUUGUGGACAAGGUUCAUUCUUUAUCUUGCAACAUCUAUGUCCCAAGAUAACAUAUGAUAAAAAGUAGAGUUAGUGAGUUAACCAAUUUGUAAAUAAAUAUCUUUGUUACAAUGAUAUAAAACAGCAUCUUGGACAUGAAUUGUUAAAGUCUCAGAAAUGUAUGUCAGGACUUGUUCACUAGGUUGGCAGCAGAGGGGCAGAAGGAAAGUAUAAAGGGAGGGUUGUAUGCGAAUGUGUUCAUAUUUAUAUUUUGGUGAUAACCAUUGAUGUGGGUGCAUCUUUUGGCUGUAAUAUAAGCAAUUCAGUGGAAACAUACCUCCUUGCUAAUAUUUUAAUAGUUUGGAUAAUUAGUCCUCUUAGAGGCAUUAUACUUUAUGUACUCUGUUGCUUUAUGUGUCAUUUUUAAUUGAACAUAAGGGAAUGUAGUAUUUUAAUCAUAACUCUACCAAUAUCUUUAUCUUGAAGCCUGUUGCUAUUUUUGUCUUUUAUGUAAUUUUAUCGCUAAGAAAGGCAGGAUUACAUUUUUUUUCCUUCCAGAUCGAGUUGGUGUAGUAUAUUCUUGGUUAUCAAAAUAAAAUACUCAUAUAGCUUUGGGACUUUGAAAUGGUAAAUAUUCAUGAUGUGUGAAAAAGCAUGAUACAUAACUAUGAUCUUAAUUACAUAAAAAUGGAUGCUUCAUUGUGUAGAUACACAAACGAAAUCUAGAAGGACAUAUCAACCUGUAAACUGCUUGAUUAUGGAUGACUUUGUUUUUUGCUUCCUAUUUGCUUGUGUUUUUCAGUUUCCUAUUAUGCACAUGUUAACUUUUAAGAAAUAAAUUUUA
Molecule: long non-coding RNA, 1994 nt
Filed under: Sus scrofa (pig)
Lineage: Eukaryota; Metazoa; Chordata; Mammalia; Artiodactyla; Suidae
Description: lncRNA (ENSSSCG00030036584.1, ENSSSCG00040066685.1)
Source: RNAcentral